GUGCCAGCAGCCGCGGUAAUACGUAGGGUGCAAGCGUUAUCCGGAAUUAUUGGGCGUAAAGAGCUCGUAGGCGGUUUGUCGCGUCUGCUGUGAAAACUGGGGGCUCAACCCCCAGCCUGCAGUGGGUACGGGCAGACUAGAGUGCGGUAGGGGAGAUUGGAAUUCCUGGUGUAGCGGUGGAAUGCGCAGAUAUCAGGAGGAACACCAAUGGCGAAGGCAGAUCUCUGGGCCGUUACUGACGCUGAGGAGCGAAAGCAUGGGGAGCGAACAGGAUUAGAUACCCUGGUAGUCCAUGCCGUAAACGUUGGGAACUAGAUGUAGGGGCCAUUCCACGGUUUCUGUGUCGCAGCUAACGCAUUAAGUUCCCCGCCUGGGGGAGUACGGCCGCAAGGCUAAAACUCAAAGGAAUUGACGG
RNAcentral lists this ribosomal RNA (415 nucleotides) under Parafrigoribacterium sp. Its description in RNAcentral is "bacterial SSU rRNA". It matches the Rfam family "Bacterial small subunit ribosomal RNA", at positions 505 to 916 of the family's 1533-position model. The record is from RNAcentral. Lineage: Bacteria; Bacillati; Actinomycetota; Actinomycetes; Micrococcales; Microbacteriaceae.